RNAcentral lists this long non-coding RNA (201 nucleotides) under Gossypium raimondii (Peruvian cotton). Its description in RNAcentral is "long non-coding RNA (GRAI_LNC004855)". The record is from RNAcentral. Lineage: Eukaryota; Viridiplantae; Streptophyta; Magnoliopsida; Malvales; Malvaceae.
AAAAAAAGAAUGAAGAAUAACGUGAACUUUAUUUUUCUACUUUAAAAAUAACUUCCUCUUUUAAAAUAAAAUAACAUAAAAAAAUAAAUAUAAAAAACACUCACAUGGAUUCAAACACGAAACCUAGAGAUAAGUUAACGCGCUCACAACCAUUGAACCAGUAGGCUCAUUCUAACAUUAAAACGCAAAACUGAACCCAAA